CAGAAAUCAAGACAUAAAUCAGUGCUCGAGGAAAUAGCCCAAACCAAAGAAGUUGGACUAUAAAGUCUGCUUGCAAGCCAGGCUCCAGGAGAAGAAAGACAGAUGACGUUCCCAGCCCAUGAGCACCCAGCUCCACAGCCAACUCCUGGGCCAGGCACAGCACGAUGCCCAGCAGCUGGCACGAGCCUCACCAGAAAGCUGCUCGCUCACACCCAGCUCUGGCGCUGCUGGCUUGGCAUUCAUUUUGCUGCAAAAGGGAAGUUUGGAACACGCAGGAGUACCACCACGUGCCACAACUUUCUGGAAGGAUCCAUCACUAAGUUUUGUCCAAAAGGUCCCAGUUGGUCACAGCGGGAGCACAGCUCCUUCACAGACACGAUGGAGAAAGCGUGAGUUUGGCAAGGGGGAGCAGAGGCCAGAGAUAGUUUGGCACUCACAGGAAAACAGAGGCUUUUGGCAACACAAAGGGACGUUCCUUUAUCUCUAUGCAAAAUUACACUUUGCUUUUUGAGGAAGUGGAUGAGAUAGGAGCUGCUGGUUCCCCACCAACCACUUCGCCAGAUGCACAUUAAAACAUUGAGCAGUGAGAUCUGAUGCUCUGGAAAACUGUAUGCUCCAUUAGCAACACCUUGUUUAGAAAAACUGGGCCAUCUGGACUUCAGAAUAACUGUUUCAAGCUGUUUUCUUAAAGACUGAAGGAAGACAACACGAGAUUUAUUUGUACUCUGCAAGCAACUGUCCCCACAUUUAACAUCCCUGUUUUAAGCAAGCAGAAAAUGUGCAGCCCGAGCCUGCAGCAGAGCAACCUGCAUGGCAGCUCUGCAUUGGCAAACGCAAAGGGCUCAGAACAUGGCGAUGCUCACACAGAUAACAGAACUGCACUUUGUACAAACUCAGUGAGCUGAAUGCUGAUAGUAAAUUCCCUGGGGCUCAACCCCAGCUGCAGUUGAACUAACCUUGCACAACCUUAUUCCUAUAUUCAACUCUGAUAACUAUCCAGAAGACAAAACCACUCCUUAUAAAGAACUAACAUCAGAACUCAAGAACUUCAGCCCACUGAUGUCUCCUUAAUGUUGGUCAUCUCUCCUUCCCAGCUCCGGCCUUGAGAAGCUGCCCUCUGCCAGCACCUGAGCUAGCAUCAAGGUAUCUCUGCUGUAAAGCAUGUGGGGAUGGAGGGCAAAAAACAGCGUCCAACACCUACACGUAAGGGGAAAGGGGAAGACAAGCGUUCUUCUAUGGAGACGAAAAUGAGGUAACUUCACAAGAGAAAUAAAACUUAACGGGGUGUUGUUUCAGUGGUGACCAUGACCACCUCAAAACCACUUCCACUCUUCUUCCCUCCCCAUCUUCCUUGAUGCACAGUUCAGGAAAUCUGGGCAUCUCCAGACAUGUGCUUCCAGUGCUUAGGAGACCAAUCUCAUCCAAAGACACAUUCAGAAGCCCAUGACAGAAGUUUUAUAUCCCUUGACAAUGAUUUCAGAGUUCCUUCUUUUGACGAAUAGCAGCGAAGAGCAAGGGAAAGUAGUCAGCAAUUUAUAAUUACCACCAGGAUAAAACAACACAACAACAACAAAGGCGCUGAUGUAAUCAAGUUCUUACCCUGUGCAACAGAAAAGACAGCAAUUUGAGGUUAACACGAGUGGCGUUUUGCCAGUUUCCUACCGUCCCUGGUUCUCACCUUGCAAACCAGCUGAACAGUAGCAGCUUCUUGUUUAAAAAA
This 1720-nucleotide long non-coding RNA is filed under the name Gallus gallus (chicken). Its description in RNAcentral is "long non-coding RNA NONGGAT007195". The record is from RNAcentral. Lineage: Eukaryota; Metazoa; Chordata; Aves; Galliformes; Phasianidae.